Dermochelys coriacea (leatherback sea turtle) is the source of this 1144-nucleotide long non-coding RNA. RefSeq lists it as uncharacterized. The record is from RefSeq and is a predicted model, not a curated record. NCBI's taxonomy places the organism in Eukaryota, Metazoa, Chordata, Testudines, Dermochelyidae. The transcript has 3 exons.
GAUUCAGGAUGGGGUCAUGAGGGGUUCCUCAGUGGGUUGCACCCAUAAGCUGAAAAAUCAGUAGGAUUCAGCAGCAGUCUGCAGUGGAAGGAAGGAAUUACUCCUUCCCCCUGUUUUGAUCUCCCAUCCUUCAUGCGCAUCACUCACUCCCAUAGCAGCUCCUUAGUCCCUCCUCCCCAGCACACAAAGGGCUCAGAUACAGUGCCUGAAGGGGCAGAACAGCCAACUUCGCAGCCUCUCAGAGCAGCACGUCUCCUGCCCUGGAGCAGAGCAUUGCACAGGCACAGGAUAAGGAGAGGAGAGAGAAUCACCGCCCCCCACAACCUCUGCCCCAGAUGGUCUCCACAGUACCUUUCUGGAUCCACAAUCAACAGCAGAAACAUUGUUCUGUGACUCAACCUCACAUUCCUUUGCAGCUGCAAAUAUGGUGGGAUGCUUGAGGAUUUUUCAGCCAUUUGAUGAGUUGUGGGUAGAAACAAAGAGUUAAGAACCUCAGCUGGCUCCGCCUCGCUUCUACUGAGAAACUGAGCUGGAGAGUGAUUUAAUCAUGGUCGCCGGUUCUUCACUGGAUCCCUGCCCAGGAUGACUGCUGUAACUCUUAAGACUGAUCUGGGGAGAAGGACUGGAACCAGGCUGAAAAAGGUCAGCCUGUGAAGGGAAUACCUGGAGAUUUAAGUUGCAAGCAGUGCAGUUUACCUUCAAGAAACUCUGUAACCUGCAUAAACAACAUUUAGAGUACAAUAAGGUUAAGUACCACAUUGGAAGUAUGAUUGGUGGUUGGGAUGAUGUGCAUAGGCGGCUGGGAACCAAAACUGUCUAGACCAGAAGUGGGAGAUCAGAAUGACCUGUGCUCUGUCCUGCCGGAUUUAGCGUUGAACUCAUGGUAGGAGUGAUAACGGAGGAAAGGCAGAGUUGAACUGAUCUGAUCAAGGAAGAAGCAGAGCGUCAACCUGGAAGGGGCAACUGAAGGCUCCUCUGGAGCAAUAUGUGGUGCAUUUCCUGUUUGCUUGAGAUAUGAACAGAUCCCUGGUUGGGGUUCCCUAUGUUUUUUAAUUUGGGGUAUACAUUUAAGUUGAUCCUCUAUUAUGGUGUCUUUAAAAAGCUUCCAUGCAACUUGCAGGGAUUUCACUUUUGGCACUGUACC